Molecule: transfer RNA, 71 nt
Filed under: Sibynophis collaris (collared black-headed snake)
Lineage: Eukaryota; Metazoa; Chordata; Lepidosauria; Squamata; Sibynophiidae
Also listed under: 1 other name
Description: tRNA-Gln
Source: RNAcentral
UAGAAGGUAGUAUACUGGCAGUAUAGAAAGUUUUGGGCUUUCUGGCCCUAGUUCGAACCUAGGCUUUCUAG